GACGAACGCUGGCGGCGUGCUUAACACAUGCAAGUCGAACGGAAAGGCCCUGCUUUUGUGGGGUGCUCGAGUGGCGAACGGGUGAGUAACACGUGAGUAACCUGCCCUUGACUUUGGGAUAACUUCAGGAAACUGGGGCUAAUACCGGAUAGGGGCUCCUGCUGCAUGGUGGGGGUUGGAAAGUUUCGGCGGUUGGGGAUGGACUCGCGGCUUAUCAGCUUGUUGGUGGGGUAGCGGCUUACCAAGGCUUUGACGGGUAGCCGGCCUGAGAGGGUGACCGGCCACAUUGGGACUGAGAUACGGCCCAGACUCCUACGGGAGGCAGCAGUGGGGAAUAUUGCACAAUGGGCGGAAGCCUGAUGCAGCAACGCCGCGUGCGGGAUGACGGCCUUCGGGUUGUAAACCGCUUUCGCCUGUGACGAAGCGUGAGUGACGGUAAUGGGUAAAGAAGCACCGGCUAACUACGUG
RNAcentral lists this ribosomal RNA (468 nucleotides) under uncultured bacterium. Its description in RNAcentral is "partial 16S ribosomal RNA". It matches the Rfam family "Bacterial small subunit ribosomal RNA", at positions 28 to 507 of the family's 1533-position model. The record is from RNAcentral.